This 320-nucleotide small nuclear RNA is filed under the name Castor canadensis (American beaver). Its description in RNAcentral is "7SK RNA (ENSCCNG00000004412.1)". It matches the Rfam family "7SK RNA". From Rfam's summary of the family: 7SK was discovered as an abundant small nuclear RNA in the mid-70s but a possible function has only recently been suggested. Lineage: Eukaryota; Metazoa; Chordata; Mammalia; Rodentia; Castoridae. The record is from Rfam by way of RNAcentral.
GGAUGUGAGGGCGAUCUGGCUGCGACAUCUGUCACCCCAUUGAUCUCCAGGGUUGAUUCGGCUGAUCUGGCUGGCUAGGUGGGUGUCCCCUUCCUCCCUCACCACUCCAUGUGUGUCCCUCCCGAAGUUGCUCACUAGGUGGAAGAGGACGACCAUCCCCAAUAGAGGAGGACCGUUCUUGGGUCGAGGGUAUAUGAGUAGCUGCACUUCCCUGCUAGAACCUCCAAACAAGCUCUCAAACUGGGCACAGUGGAUACCACCUGUAUGCCUAGCACUUAGGAGGUUGAGAUAGGAGGACCUCAAGUUCAAGGCCACCCUAU